AUUGAAUCUAUCUCUUCAGGUGCUCUGGGAACAGAGAUAAUAGGGAAACCGGUGAAAUCCCGGUACGGUCCCGCCACUGUAAUCAGCAUGUUUCGGAACAACACCACUGCAAUACGUGGGAAGGUGUUGAAUAUACCGAGCUGAGAGUCAGGAGACCUGCCUGAAGAGCCAGAGCGAA
Molecule: non-coding RNA, 178 nt
Filed under: Paenalicyclobacillus ferrooxydans
Lineage: Bacteria; Bacillati; Bacillota; Bacilli; Caryophanales; Alicyclobacillaceae
Source: RNAcentral